UAUUCUCCAUUGUCAUUUUUUCCAACACGUGUUCUAACGCGAAUUGUCGGUGGCUCAAGAGAUUCUGCCAGACCAAAGGUUGCCCGAUGAUAUAAAGAUCCUGUCUGUAUCACAAUUAUAUGAUCAUCCCUGAAAGAAGGCAUCGUUUUCCCAAACCGAUUGCUUUGGUUGUGCUAUGGAUGAAUUGUGGUUUACGAUACAAGUCAUACUACUCACUAAUCUGCAUGUAAAGGUUGUUGAAAUGUAAGUGAUGGAUACCUUUUCUAUAUUAUGCUGAGAAUAUUAUCUAAAGGAAAUGAUUUUAAAAGCUCAAUUAAAUUGACUGCACAAAUUUUUGGAAUUUGGUGAAGAAGGAUAAGUUCGGAAGUUGCCCAGUGGUAAUAGGACCAAGAUAAUUAAUACGAUGAAAGCAAAGAGAGAAUAGCGGAAAGGACGCUGUAUCAGACCCUACUUAGACCAAAUAUAGAAAGGGUAACACCCUUUCUAUCAAUCAGUACUAAAAUAUUUAAGGACAAACGGCUUUUUAAACUGGAAGGACAAAAGUCUUUGACAUUAUAAUACAUAUAUAUAUAUAUAUAUAUAUAUAUAUAUAUAUAUACAUACAUACACAAGAUGGUAGAAAGUCAAUAUUCCGCCAUUAGAAAUGAAUAUACAAAACUGCUGUAAAAUGUACUGUGAAUUUGGUAAGCGAGACUAGCCCUUUAGAUUCCUCCUAUCUAUUUCAGAUUAAAGCAAAAAGGAAUAUUUAAUUCUUCAUUUUAAAGGGAUCAAAAGAAGUAUUAAGAAAAUGAAUUAAUACCGGAGUCUAAGAUCGUUAGAGGUCCAAUUUCUUUAUUUUAGUUUUUUUACAGGUAGGAGGAAACAAAAGAAAUAGAGCAAUAAAUAUUGAGAUUCAGGAUUGCUGCCAAUCAAAAAAGAUAAAGGGAAAAAUGAAAUAUGAAGAAAAUAAGCAAGCGUCAUAAUAGUUUUAGGGAUUCAAAAUUGAAAAAGUCGGCGCUAGAAAAAGUGGUAUUUUCAUUUCCCCAUUAUUAAAAAAAAAAGACAUCAACCGGGCAAGAGAACUUGUAAAAAAAAGUUAUGUAAUGUGGAUAUGUAUAAA
Schizosaccharomyces pombe (fission yeast) is the source of this 1099-nucleotide non-coding RNA. The record is from the annotation of a GenBank genome assembly. NCBI's taxonomy places the organism in Eukaryota, Fungi, Ascomycota, Schizosaccharomycetes, Schizosaccharomycetales, Schizosaccharomycetaceae.